GAUGAACGCUGGCGGCGUGCCUAAUACAUGCAAGUCGAGCGAACGGACGAGAAGCUUGCUUCUCUGAUGUUAGCGGCGGACGGGUGAGUAACACGUGGAUAACCUACCUAUAAGACUGGGAUAACUUCGGGAAACCGGAGCUAAUACCGGAUAAUAUUUUGAACCGCAUGGUUCAAAAGUGAAAGACGGUCUUGCUGUCACUUAUAGAUGGAUCCGCGCUGCAUUAGCUAGUUGGUAGGGUAACGGCUUACCAAGGCAACGAUGCAUAGCCGACCUGAGAGGGUGAUCGGCCACACUGGAACUGAGACACGGUCCAGACUCCUACGGGAGGCAGCAGUAGGGAAUCUUCCGCAAUGGGCGAAAGCCUGACGGAGCAACGCCGCGUGAGUGAUGAAGGUCUUCGGAUCGUAAAACUCUGUUAUUAGGGAAGAACAUAUGUGUAAGUAACUGUGCACAUCUUGACGGUACCUAAUCAGGAAGCCACGGCUAACUACGUG
This 497-nucleotide ribosomal RNA is filed under the name uncultured bacterium. RNAcentral's name for it is "partial 16S ribosomal RNA". It matches the Rfam family "Bacterial small subunit ribosomal RNA", at positions 28 to 507 of the family's 1533-position model. The record is from RNAcentral.